Long non-coding RNA from Telopea speciosissima, 249 nucleotides. RefSeq lists it as uncharacterized. The transcript has 3 exons. The record is from RefSeq and is a predicted model, not a curated record. NCBI's taxonomy places the organism in Eukaryota, Viridiplantae, Streptophyta, Magnoliopsida, Proteales, Proteaceae.
GGCUGACCUUGUCAUUGAACCAGAAAUUGCUUCCUUGAUCCAUCACAUAAAGAAAAUAAAUGGCAUUGCUCAUCUGAAGCGAACUAAAUUUGGCAAAGUUGAUUUGGAUUAUGUUCUUGGGAUUGGAGGCUUUGAUUUGGAGAGAAUUGAGAGUGCAGUUAAUGCAGAGGACUCAAAGGAAGAUCACAAAGAUCACACAAUUCAUGAUCAUAAUCAUGACCAUCAUGAACCUGACCAUAAACAUGGUAA